UCCCUGGUGGUCCAGUGGUUAAGACUCUGCACGUCCAUUGCAGGGCCAUAGGUUCAAUCCCUAGUCAGGGAA
Molecule: non-coding RNA, 72 nt
Organism: Dama dama (fallow deer)
Lineage: Eukaryota; Metazoa; Chordata; Mammalia; Artiodactyla; Cervidae
Source: the annotation of a RefSeq genome assembly